GGAGAAGUGAACACUUUAAGUGCUCGACAGGGAAACUGCCAACAUGUGAUUCAGUGUCUCGGCUGGAAAUGUGCUGGAAAAUAACUGCAUUUACUUAAGUACUGUACUUAAGUACAAUUUUGAGUUGCCCCCAAGAUAUUUUCCCGAAUAUAACUUCCCUCCUGGGGAUCGCUGCCAGACUUUAAAAGACAUCUCGCAGCGUGGAGAGACAACUCGUCCAGACUACUUGAUUUUACUGUCACUUUGACAUGAGCUGACAGAUUCAUUGGAUUACAAUGAACUCAUCUUCAACUCCAAGUCGCCUGCACUUCCUGAUGUAAGCUGGCAGCGUCCCCCCAACACGGCGGCCUAAGAUGAAAUGCUACUUUAAUGGCCGCUGGGGCCGCUGAACGACAAAAACAACGGUCUUGGAUGCCAAGAUGAUCACAGAAAAGCAAACAAAAAAAAAGAAAUGUAGGCCCGUCCAUGAUCCAUACUGACGUCUCCAGAUCCAAACCUGUUUUCUUCUCCUCAAUUAUUAGCUGUGGGAAAGAAACCCUAAAUGACAGUUUCCACUCUGCUCUGUGUGAUGAUUCUUCUUCUUUGAAAGGACAGAGGAGGAAGUCCAGUGAGAGCUCAGCACUCGUACAGAUCGGUGCAUGGCGAUGGUUUGACUCGAGCUGCAGCAGAGAGCAGAGGAUGUUCUCGCUGCUGGAGAACAUUAACCAGAACAGAAGAACAUCAGACCAGUGAUGCAGCUGCUGUCAUGUGACCGGAACACAACAUGUUUGCUGUAUGAUGGAUCGUCGUCUUGGGACUGAACAAAUGCAGCUGAACACACACAAACACACACACAAACACACAACAGAAAAACCACCUGACACCAAAAAAGGUGAAUUACUACAAAGAAACAACGGGGAAACAAUAAUGGCCGCCAUCAAUUUAACAGAAGAAAAACCCAACAUGUGAACUUUUCCAGUGCUGACAUCAACAUCAUCUCUCCCUGUCCUGCAGGCUGCUUGCACCUCAACGGUUAUUUUUCAGGAAGCAACAUGCAUCAAACACAGAGAACCUUCUUCUCAUACACAGGUACAAUUAUAUAUAUAUAUAUUUAUAACUUCCAUGUUUCAGGAUGGGACUUGAACUUGAUGCA
Long non-coding RNA from Micropterus dolomieu (smallmouth bass), 1132 nucleotides. RefSeq lists it as uncharacterized. The record is from RefSeq and is a predicted model, not a curated record. NCBI's taxonomy places the organism in Eukaryota, Metazoa, Chordata, Actinopteri, Centrarchiformes, Centrarchidae. The transcript has 5 exons.